UGUGGCAGAUGAAACGGAUGGAGAAGCCGGUGAGGGGCUGCGGCCGUACACACAAACAGACAAGCAAACCAUUGACAUGCAGAUCACUUGGCAGGGAGCUCCAGAAAUGGAGUCUGACUGGGCGUUUGAUCAGGGUCGAAACGUUGCUAAUAAAUAUGCAGCUCUUCAAACGCAGAAAUAUAACAACUGUAUAAGUUUUUGUCCACAAUUGAGUCGUGGUUGAGUCUUCACGGUUAAAUUUUCUUCAUUUUACACCCUACGACCAGUCUAAACUAAUUUAAUUUGACAUAUUACAUAAGGAAAGUUUCAAACGUCGUUAUUUCAGUUACCACACAACUUCUUGAGGCUGUUACUAUAGCAACAGUAACGUUAGUUCGCGAGCGAGCGGUUAGGAGGAUUGGUACGGGUCGGGAUAGAACAAAGUCGAAAGAUUACCACACAAGACAAGACCCCUCGUGAUGCUAACAACAAUUUGCGAAGGAUCGGUAACGUUACAGUUGAAAAAGUAACAACCAGCUUUUCUUACGAGGUGGAACAAAAUAGCUGUGAAACAGAGGAAUCCGGAUAAACCAGGAGAACUACAGGUGUGUCAGAGUGAGAGAUGAGAGAAACCUGUCAUGAUGUGUAACCGCAGACUGCCUCAAAACAGAAUAUUUACACUGAAGAUUAGGUCCAAUGCAAUCUCUACUUUAAAGGGUUAGUUCACCCAAAAAUUAAAA
Megalobrama amblycephala (Wuchang bream) is the source of this 719-nucleotide long non-coding RNA. RefSeq lists it as uncharacterized. The transcript has 3 exons. The record is from RefSeq and is a predicted model, not a curated record. Lineage: Eukaryota; Metazoa; Chordata; Actinopteri; Cypriniformes; Xenocyprididae.